Apis cerana (Asiatic honeybee) is the source of this 2060-nucleotide long non-coding RNA. RefSeq lists it as uncharacterized. The record is from RefSeq and is a predicted model, not a curated record. NCBI's taxonomy places the organism in Eukaryota, Metazoa, Arthropoda, Insecta, Hymenoptera, Apidae.
AAUUUUUAAAUUUUGCACAAAUAAAUUCCUAAAUAUUUAGCAACGUGUGUAAUGUGCUUCUCGAUCGUUACUUGUUCAAAUAUAAUCGACAGAUCAAGUGAAGUGUUAUUAAAUUUGAAAAACGAAAUUAGAUAUAAAAAGAAAUAUAGAGGGAAAAAAAAUUAUAAUAGUGGUGAAUAGUGGUGAAUAGUAGUGAAUAAGAUUCGAUGAAAGAAAACGUUAGUGAUCAACUGCGUAAUCCGCUUAAAGUUAGUCGUUGAAACGUUGAAAAAUAGAACUGUUUCGAUCAGUGCAGUACGUUCGGGAUAGUGAAAAAAGCUGCUAAAGUAAUGAAACUGGAAACUCCAAAUAUUUUUAGCUAGAAGAGACUAUUGAUGAUUCAAAAUAUAUGUGUGUUUACAAUGAUUCCAAAUGAUGAAGUGAGAAAAUUUUCGAUAAAGCAAAUAGUGGAAAAUAAAAAAAGUGAUCGAGAAAAGUGGAAAAAAAGAUCAAAAAGAUCAAAGUGAUAUUGACAAACGUCGGUGAUCAACCGUGUAAUCCAUUUAACCGUGGAAAUUAGUCAUUGUAGAGAGGAAAAAUGGAACUGUUUCGAUUACUCGUUAUUUCCUCUCAAUUGAAUAUUGAGAACAAUUGAUUGAUAAUCAGAAGUGGAAAAUUAGAAAAUUAGUUGGGACUCAUUAUUAACUGCUGAUGCUUUUUGUUUCUUCGCCUAUUUCCAUGCUAAAUAUUUUGCAACAACCAACAAUAUAUUCGAAACCAUUCACGGAUACAUAACACCCAUAGUACCUCGAAAGAAGAAGGAUCAGCCUGAAUACACUGAAUCAAAUCGAAUGAAACCGCUCGUAAAACAGUAAAAUAUAACGAUCAAACACAAUUGUAUCAAUCGACUCGAUGGAUAAUAAUUAACGAACAAUUAAUGACACCGACACAAGUCACUGAACAACCAUUAUGUAACUCGCGAUACGAGACGUAUAAAAAAAAAGAGGGAAAAACACUUUUAAUUCGAAAAAAAAACACGAUCGAUUUACCGAAUUUUUAAGGUUAACACCGCAGUGGAAGGAAACCGGUCGCGGACCGGCUGCUGUUUCCUCACGCACGUGUUACUCGACCCCACGAAAGUCACUAGGCGGCCAGUGCGACCCCCGCCAGUCGUGGAGAAGACGGUGGGUGUGAGACAGGAUGCCUGAACGUCUGCCUAUGGGGGGGAUGGCGUUGGUGGGGACAUGAGAAAUAGUGGGGCGGAAAAACAGGAACAAGCGGGUAUUCGUGAUAUGCUUGUUGGAUGCUGCGCAGUCUCUGCACUUGUAUCACGGAACGGACUUUCUAUGAUAAAGCUUGACAAUACUUUUCUGGCAUGGCGAGGCGAUUGUAAUUUGAUAGUAAGGAGAUCGGAAGAUAGAAGAUGAUGCGAGAAGGAUAUGUUUGAAUUUAGGAAGUUUUAAGUUUAAUUAUAGUUUUGGCUUUUGAAAUCUAAAUGAAAAUGAUGAGAAUGAUCUAUUGGAUGAUAAAUAGAUCGAUUUUUGAUAAAAAUAGUAUAAAAAUUUCUUUUGAAUAUAGAUUAUAUAUUCAAAAGAAAGAUAUAAAAAUUUUCAAUUAAAUUUAACUUAUAUGAAAUUUAUAUUAAUUUUUGUUUUACAUAUAUUAUCUUUUACUACUUGAUAUACUAUCAUAUAAAAUUAUAAAUAAAAUUUUAAAUAUUCUGUUGCAGAAUAUCUUGAAGGAACACGAAUUGCAAGUUUGAGAAAACGUGUUCAAUUGACAUCCUGUAUCUCGUGCAAUCACGUGCCAAAAGUAUAGACAGAGAUAAAAGAUUGUAAAAGGAGGACAGAGAUAAAGUAAAAAUAUUGAAAUCAGCGCCAUCUUUGGAGUGGCGCAAAUGAAACACGGAAAGAAAGGAUAGAAAAUGGUAGGAGAAGGAUAGUGAUAUAGUAAAAACGGACUCUUAGCACCAUCUUUCGACAAUUUUUCGAAGAUAAAAAAAGUUUUGUAAAAAGAAAAUUUGGAAAGCGAUGCCAAUUACCGGGUCUCACCGACGAGGAGGUGACUACGCAUCGAGACCC